RNAcentral lists this ribosomal RNA (485 nucleotides) under Xylotrupes wiltrudae. RNAcentral describes it as "partial large subunit ribosomal RNA". It matches the Rfam family "Bacterial large subunit ribosomal RNA", at positions 1808 to 2563 of the family's 2925-position model. The record is from RNAcentral. Lineage: Eukaryota; Metazoa; Arthropoda; Insecta; Coleoptera; Scarabaeidae.
CAAAAACAUGUCUUUUUGAUUAUAAUUUAAAGUCUAACCUGCCCAAUGAGGAGUUAAAUGGCCGCGGUAUACUGACCGUGCAAAGGUAGCAUAAUCAUUAGUUUUUUAAUUGAAAGCUGGUAUGAAUGGUUGGACGAGAAAAUAACUGUCUCAAUUUAAAUUGAAUUAGAAUUUUAUUUAUGAGUAAAAAAGCUCAUAUAAGUUUAAAAGACGAGAAGACCCUAUAGAAUUUAAUAUAUGUAUAUAUAUAUUAUUUUUAGAAUUAAUAAUAAGGUAUAUGUAAUUAUAUUUUGUUGGGGUGAUAGAAAAAUUAAAAUAACUUUUUUUAUAUAAAAACAUUAAUGUAUGAGAAAAUGAUCCGUUAAUUACGAUUAUAAGAUUAAAUUACCUUAGGGAUAACAGCGUAAUUUUUUUUUAGAGUUCUUAUCGAAAAAAGAGUUUGCGACCUCGAUGUUGGAUUAAAAUUAACUUUUGGUGUAGGGGCU